CCCAGGGAGCGGGGCAGGGGCGACCCCAGGGGGCAGCGUGACCCUCAGGAGUGGGCAGGCUGUGGGGUGCCUCAGCCCUCACGGACCUGGGAUAACCCAAGAGAAUGGUUCCUAAUCGCAACUGUCCCCCGCAUGGCACUGUUUCCUGCCAGCUACCAUCCUAGAACCUCUGAGAGACCAACUCAUUUAGUUUUUGGAACAAUGCCGGGGGGUGGGUACUCAUAUAACCCCCCCAUUAUAUGAGAUGAGAACAUUGAGCCAUAAAAAGUUACACAGCUGGUGGAUGACAAUCCUAGGGUUCGAAACUGAGGAAGUCUAGAUCCGGCGUUUGUCAUUUUAUUUGUUUUAUUUUUUGGCUGAACAUCUGCAGCAUGCAAAAGUUCCCAGGCCAGGAAUCGAACUCACGCCAUAGCAGUGACCUGAGCCACAACAGUGACCUGAGCCAUAGCAGUGACCUGAGCCACAGCAAUGACAACACCAGAUCCUUAACUCGCUAGGCCCCCAGGGAACUCUGGUGUUUUCGUAAUUUUUUUUUUUUUUUUGUCUUUUUGCCAUUUCUUGGGCCGCUCUCGCGGCAUAUGGAGGUUCCCAGGCUAGGGGUCUAAUCGGAGCUGUAGCCGCUGACCUACGCCAGAGCCACAGCAACGCGGGAUCCGAGCCGUGUCUGCAACCUACGCCACAGCUCAUGGCAACGCCGGAUCGUUAACCCACUGAGCAAGGGCAGGGACCGAACCCGCAACCUCAUGGUUCCUAGUCGGAUUCGUUAACCACUGCGCCACCACGGGAACUCCCUGUUUUCGUAAUUUUAACCAUGACAUUAUAUUGCUUCCCAGGGAACAUCUCCAUCCAGGUCCAAGGAACCAUUUGGGAGAAGCUCCAGACCAUGCAAGGAGAAAAGAGAAACACAAAUGCUCUCCCUGGUAAGCAAUUGACAGAACGCAGAGAUUCCACUUAAACAGCAAGCAAGAUGGAGAGGUGAAAGGAGUGGGCGUUGACCAGCCCAAGGGCACAGGUAAGGUCGUUGAAUUUCCACCUCUGGUGUCCUUUCCACUUAGAGAGAU
This 1061-nucleotide long non-coding RNA is filed under the name Sus scrofa (pig). RNAcentral describes it as "lncRNA (ENSSSCG00025031464.1)". The record is from RNAcentral. Lineage: Eukaryota; Metazoa; Chordata; Mammalia; Artiodactyla; Suidae.